This 425-nucleotide ribosomal RNA is filed under the name bacterium. Its description in RNAcentral is "partial 16S ribosomal RNA". It matches the Rfam family "Bacterial small subunit ribosomal RNA", at positions 355 to 776 of the family's 1533-position model. The record is from RNAcentral.
UGGGGAAUAUUGCACAAUGGGCGCAAGCCUGAUGCAGCGACGCCGCGUGAGGGAUGGAGGCCUUCGGGUUGUAAACCUCUUUCGCCAGUGAAGCAGGCCAUCUUCUUUGUGGGGUGGUUGACGGUAGCUGGAUAAGAAGCGCCGGCUAACUACGUGCCAGCAGCCGCGGUAAUACGUAGGGCGCGAGCGUUGUCCGGAAUUAUUGGGCGUAAAGAGCUCGUAGGCGGCUGGUCGCGUCUGUCGUGAAAUCCCCUGGCUUAACUGGGGGCUUGCGUUGGGUACGGGCCGGCUUGAGUGCGGUAGGGGAGACUGGAAUUCCUGGUGUAGCGGUGGAAUGCGCAGAUAUCAGGAGGAACACCGGUGGCGAAGGCGGGUCUCUGGGCCGUUACUGACGCUGAGGAGCGAAAGCGUGGGGAGCGAACAGG